Molecule: ribosomal RNA, 274 nt
Filed under: uncultured prokaryote
Description: partial 16S ribosomal RNA
Rfam family: Bacterial small subunit ribosomal RNA
Source: RNAcentral
UACGUAGGGGCAAGCGUUAUCCGGAUUUACUGGGUGUAAAGGGAGCGCAGACGGCAGCGCAAGUCUGAUGUGAAAUCCCGGGGCUCAACCCCGGAACUGCAUUGGAAACUGCGCAGCUCGGGUAUCGGAGAGGUAAGCGGAAUUCCUAGUGUAGCGGUGAAAUGCGUAGAUAUUAGGAGGAACACCGGCGGCGAAGGCGGCUUACUGGACGAAGACUGACGUUGAGGCUCGAAAGCGUGGGGAGCAAACAGGAUUAGAUACCCUGGUAGUCCCU